Molecule: transfer RNA, 85 nt
Filed under: Chloroflexota bacterium
Lineage: Bacteria; Bacillati; Chloroflexota
Description: tRNA-Leu
Rfam family: tRNA
About the family: Transfer RNA (tRNA) molecules are approximately 80 nucleotides in length. Their secondary structure includes four short double-helical elements and three loops (D, anti-codon, and T loops).
Source: RNAcentral
GCCGGAGUGAUGAAACGGUAGACAUCGGAGACUCAAAAUCUCCUGGGCCGCAAGGUCCGUGAGGGUUCGAGUCCCUCCUCCGGUA